AGGCCACGGAUUCCGUCCGCUGGUUGUCCGAUGUGAUCAUG
Molecule: small RNA, 41 nt
Filed under: Propionibacterium australiense
Lineage: Bacteria; Bacillati; Actinomycetota; Actinomycetes; Propionibacteriales; Propionibacteriaceae
Description: CRISPR_Spacer
Source: RNAcentral